AUUGAACGCUGGCGGCAGGCCUAACACAUGCAAGUCGAGCGGAUGAAGGGAGCUUGCUCCUGGAUUCAGCGGCGGACGGGUGAGUAAUGCCUAGGAAUCUGCCUGGUAGUGGGGGAUAACGUCCGGACACGGGCGCUAAUACCGCAUACGUCCUGAGGGAGAAAGUGGGGGAUCUUCGGACCUCACGCUAUCAGAUGAGCCUAGGUCGGAUUAGCUAGUUGGUGGGGUAAAGGCCUGCCAAGGCGACGAUCCGUAACUGGUCUGAGAGGAUGAUCAGUCACACUGGAACUGAGACACGGUCCAGACUCCUACGGGAGGCAGCAGUGGGGAAUAUUGGACAAUGGGCGAAAGCCUGAUCCAGCCAUGCCGCGUGUGUGAAGAAGGUCUUCGGAUUGUAAAGCACUUUAAGUUGGGAGGAAGGGCAGUAAGUUAAUACCUUGCUGUUUUGACGUUACCAACAGAAUAAGCACCGGCUAACUUCGUG
This 484-nucleotide ribosomal RNA is filed under the name uncultured bacterium. RNAcentral describes it as "partial 16S ribosomal RNA". It matches the Rfam family "Bacterial small subunit ribosomal RNA", at positions 30 to 507 of the family's 1533-position model. The record is from RNAcentral.